This 1575-nucleotide long non-coding RNA is filed under the name Rhipicephalus microplus (southern cattle tick). Its description in RNAcentral is "uncharacterized LOC119183992". The record is from RNAcentral. Lineage: Eukaryota; Metazoa; Arthropoda; Arachnida; Ixodida; Ixodidae.
GAAAAGAACAAGAACCAAUUCUCCAGGUUUUUCACGUGCAUCACGUUUUGGCCUUGCUUAUUGGUAGACGUCCACGGGUAAUUAAGGUUGGACCUUGCUGACUGCAUCCUCCUGGUGGACCUCCGUUCGGCGGCCAGCGGUGACCAUGGAACCUUCCAACCUUUCAUCCUAUCUGGACCAUGAGAAACCCGAACCCACAUCGCCUUCCACAUCCAGCCUGCGCCUCUGGUUGGGACAUGACCCUGUCCUGCAGCCACAACCUCCCUUGGUUCCCACAUAUCCGGACUCCCGUCCCAUUGCUUGCCUUCGGGGAAAUGUGUCGUGCAAGGAAGAUCGUCUCUCCAGCCUGCCCUUUUCGGUCUUACUAUGUGUAGAACUCUGGUCCUCGUUGCUGCUCGUCGUUGCUCCACUGUGCCCGCUAUGAACAGUGAGCGACUGGGUGCUGCUUGAUUUGACCCCGCGUAACACGCCAGUCGUCCCUGCAUCCUCCCUAGGCUAUGAGCUGUCCGUGAAACGCUGUGUAACACGUUUGUAUCGGUGUUCUAUAGCCUCGUAAUUCCCUGUGCUUGUGCACUGAAAUGGGACAAUUUAGAGAGAGCUCCCAUUAUUUUGCCUCGUUUGACUAAUAUCAACGUAAUUUUGAGUCUAACGUGUACAUCUGAGCAAACAUUCUUUACAGGCGAGUUUGUCGCAUGACGUGCUCGUUUCGAGUGAUUGUGCUAACCAGUCCUUAUAGUAAAAAAAUUGAUGCGUUUGAAUCCAUGAGUAUAUACUAUACAGAGAUGUUUUAGGAAUAAUGCAAUGGUUUGCAGAAUCUGCCAGUUUUUAUUGUAAUGGUACGCUGCUCAGCCGCUGAGUGCAUCUAGUGUUUCUAGACCACUGGAUCUAUACCAUCGAAUUAAUUACGUAGGCGUAACGUUUAAAGCAGCAUUACGCCACAGUAUACUCUUUCCACCUGUUUUUAACAGUGGCAUUGCUCGACCCAUCUGUAUUUUUUCAUCUUCAUUUUUCUUUCUAUGAUGAAGGCAUCCAUUCACAUCGUGCAAUGCAGCGACAUAUUGAUGCUCUUUAGCAUGGAAAGCUGCGUAACUCGCUACAUGUUCUAUCAGUCUGGUCGGCCGGCAGACUGAUAUCAAUUAUCUGGUAGUGUUCUUUCAGAAAAAAAUGUGCACUGUUACGAACAUUAUUCAAGUCAGGCUGCAAAAAAAAGUGUGGCGGUGGAGCAGUGCACUCUACUUUUCAGUUAAGACGGUUUGCUUUCCUGUGAUGACCGAGAACUUCUACAGUGUUCCUAAUGAUAAUAGUGUCAUGAUUUGUGUGUGCUGUUCAGCGUGCCUGAUUUAACAAGUACACUCGCUCAUUCAUCGUAUGUUCUUGAAAAUGUUUUGUUGAAAGAUUGGUUUUAUGUACGUUUCGAAGGUGCAGCACGCGUUUUAUUACUGGAAAUAAAUGCUGAGGGUACAUUGUAGAUUCAUGAAGUAUGUGUUAAUCACUACAGUUUGUUUCGUAAUGUCAACGUUUUAUUUUAAAUGUUACUGAUUUCAUCGAACGAAAAUAAAAACAUGCUUAGAAAUA